Long non-coding RNA from Triticum aestivum (bread wheat), 1824 nucleotides. RefSeq lists it as uncharacterized. NCBI's taxonomy places the organism in Eukaryota, Viridiplantae, Streptophyta, Magnoliopsida, Poales, Poaceae. The record is from RefSeq and is a predicted model, not a curated record. The transcript is spliced from 3 exons.
CUUUUUUUAUUGGAUGGGGCCGGGCAUGGAUGGGUGGCGGUCGUUCCGGAAAACCCGACCUUGACCAGAGUUCAUCCCCUCGCACCACUACCUGGCAUCUCCCGGAGCUGAAAUUGCUAAGGUUAUCGGCGGCGGCGGCUACAACGCGGGGGCCGAUUGCUGAUGGAAGAUGCAGGCUUGAGUUCUUGCUGGACGCGGUGGACCGUUCCCUCUCAAGGAGGAGUUCGAGGACAGCCUUGAAAAUCCAGAUCCGGUACCUUUGGCGUUGUUGACGACAGACCAAGCUAACCCUGCGGUUCAGGCGGACUCGAAUGUUGGAUCUGGAUGCGGGCAGCAAAUUGGCGGCGGUGGUACUGAGAGGGCGAACUGCAGCGAGCGGCGUCGUCGAGGGGCUUCGCCGACAGCAUCCGCAGUUAACGGACAGGGUCGACCCUCAUGCCCCUUGUUGGUCUAAGAGGUUUCCCCUUCAGAAGGAGUUGACCAAACAGCCUGGAACAUCCAUAUCCAGUGCCCCUAGUCCUGUUGCCACCACACGAGGCGAAGCCGACAGUGCUGGAGGAUUCGAACUGCGCGUCCGGCUGUGUGCAAGAGGUCGGUGGCCGCAGCCAGUGAAGAGCAGGAGGUGAGGUCCGUCGAAGGAAGAAUGCUACCCCGGCUCAGUCCGCACAAUCCACAUUAAAGGUUAACCCGGAGGCACCAUGAUGGACUUUUAGGUGAUGUUCUCACUUACAUUUUCAUCUGAACCACCAUGACGUUAUGAUAGAGUAGAUUGCAGCUAAGCAGACAUGGUGCUAUUUUACAAAUUGCUUCAGAUACUGGCAUCCUGUAGGGUGCUAUUUUUGCUUGUAUCCUUGCAGAUCCAGCAGUUGUUGGCAUAGCAAAUGUAUAUGUUUGUGCAUGUGGCAACUGAUUUGAUUCGCAACAGGGAGUCAGGAACCAGCUGAGCGGCUCGGUUGGCUUGCUGAACACCGGGUAGCGCCUGUGCCCGGCGGUCUGAACCGAAGUGAGCCUACGACCAUACACAUCCUGGGACUUGAAGAAAGGGCAUCCGCGUGACUGGUGGAACAAGAAAGCCAAAUCAGAAAUCUGUGGGGGAGAUCAACAUGACUUGAAAUAAAUUAGUAGAACAUGUAUCCAGGCUUCUCCCGCUUCCGAGCUAUAUUUGUUACCAGCUCAUGGCCACCGAAAAGGCACGAUGUGGAAGGAAGAAGAACCUGAGUAGGGACAUCAGUGGUUGUUUGGAUUAGGAGAAUUUAAGUUGGGUCUUUAGAAAAACAGUUUUAGGAGAAAUUCUAGGGAAACUAGUUUUAGUUAAUUAUUUUGUUAUGCAAUUCUUUGUUUGGAUCAAGAAACCACUUCUACAAAACUCUGUUUGGGUUAAAUCCUUUGAAGAACCACUUUAUUAGACGCCUGACCCUCGCUCCAGUGUAUGGGCAUUGACAUGGUUCUGUCUGCCGUGGUCAUGCUCAGUGCCGAGAGCUGCACAUCGCCGCUAGCGGCGCCUCCAUGUCGUGCAGCAUCGUGUCGCCGCAGUUGGUGUUCUAGCUAGUGCCACGAGCUGCGGCGUUGUGCCUCUCAGAAGGCGUUCAAUCAGCUGAGCCAGAUGGCGUUCCGGUACAAAUUGUUCAUGUAGAACAUGCCCAGCGUUGCCGGCUCGCUACUGUUCUGCGGCCAGGCGCUGUCAAAACUACCAAAGCGGGCUCCUGUGCACCUGAGGAGGGUCAGGUGGACCAAACUGGCUUGGUUUACUUGUAUUUUGGUUUAUCUUCUUUUGCUUUGUAGAUUGAACAAAAAAAAAUCUGAAUAUAUAGUUUCUUUGACACA